CCUGAUGCAGCCAUGCCGCGUGUAUGAAGAAGGCCUUCGGGUUGUAAAGUACUUUCAGCGAGGAGGAAAGGUUGUUGGUUAAUAACCAACAGCUGUGACGUUACUCGCAGAAGAAGCACCGGCUAACUUCGUGCCAGCAGCCGCGGUAAUACGAGGGGUGCAAGCGUUAAUCGGAAUUACUGGGCGUAAAGCGUACGCAGGCGGUUUGUUAAGCGAGAUGUGAAAGCCCCGGGCUCAACCUGGGAACUGCAUUUCGAACUGGCAAACUAGAGUCUUGUAGAGGGGGGUAGAAUUUCAGGUGUAGCGGUGAAAUGCGUAGAGAUCUGAAGGAAUACCGGUGGCGAAGGCGGCCCCCUGGACAAAGACUGACGCUCAGGUACGAAAGCGUGGGGAGCAAACAGGAUUAGAUACCCUGGUAGUCCACGCCGUAAACGAUGUCUACUCGGAAUUUGGUGUCUUGAACACUGGGUUCUCAAGCUAACGCAUUAAGUAGACCGCCUGGGGAGUACGGCCGCAAGGUUAAAACUCAAAUGAAUUGACGGGGGCCCGCACAAGCGGUGGAGCAUGUGGUUUAAUUCGAUGCAACGCGAAGAACCUUACCUACUCUUGACAUCCAGAGAACUUUCCAGAGAUGGAUUAGUGCCUUCGGGAACUCUGAGACAGGUGCUGCAUGGCUGUCGUCAGCUCGUGUUGUGAAAUGUUGGGUUAAGUCCCGCAACGAGCGCAACCCUUAUCCUUAUUUGCCA
This 746-nucleotide ribosomal RNA is filed under the name Shewanella kaireitica. Its description in RNAcentral is "bacterial SSU rRNA". It matches the Rfam family "Bacterial small subunit ribosomal RNA", at positions 382 to 1120 of the family's 1533-position model. The record is from RNAcentral. Lineage: Bacteria; Pseudomonadati; Pseudomonadota; Gammaproteobacteria; Alteromonadales; Shewanellaceae.